RNAcentral lists this ribosomal RNA (445 nucleotides) under uncultured bacterium. RNAcentral describes it as "SSU rRNA". It matches the Rfam family "Bacterial small subunit ribosomal RNA", at positions 26 to 518 of the family's 1533-position model. The record is from RNAcentral.
AGAGCGAACGCUGGCGGCAGGCUUAACACAUGCAAGUCGAGCGGGCGUAGCAAUACGUCAGCGGCAGACGGGUGAGUAACGCGUGGGAACAUACCUUUUGGUUCGGAACAACACAGGGAAACUUGUGCUAAUACCGGAUACGCCCUUACGGGGAAAGAUUUAUCGCCGAAAGAUUGGCCCGCGUCUGAUUAGCUAGUUGGUGAGGUAAUGGCUCACCAAGGCGACGAUCAGUAGCUGGUCUGAGAGGAUGAUCAGCCACAUUGGGACUGAGACACGGCCCAAACUCCUACGGGAGGCAGCAGUGGGAAUAUUGGACAAUGGGCGCAAGCCUGAUCCAGCCAUGCCGCGUGAGUGAUGAAGGCCCUAGGGUUGUAAAGCUCUUUUGUGCGGAAGAUAAUGACGGUACCGCAAGAAUAAGCCCGGCUAACUUCGCGCCAGCAGCCGC